UACGUAGGUGGCAAGCGUUGUCCGGAUUUACUGGGCGUAAAGAGCGCGCAGGCGGUCGUUCAAGUCGCGUGUGAAAGCCCCCGGCUCAACUGGGGAGGGUCACGCGAUACUGAUCGACUCGAAGGCAGGAGAGGGUAGUGGAAUUCCCGGUGUAGUGGUGAAAUGCGUAGAUAUCAGGAGGAACACCAAUUGCGAAGGCAGCUCGCUGGGACGUGACUGACGCUGAGACGCGAAAGCGUGGGGAGCAAACAGG
Molecule: ribosomal RNA, 253 nt
Filed under: uncultured bacterium
Lineage: Bacteria
Description: partial 16S ribosomal RNA
Rfam family: Bacterial small subunit ribosomal RNA
Source: RNAcentral